CUAAUGGAGAGUUUGAUCCUGGCUCAGGACGAACGCUGGCGGCGCGCCUAACACAUGCAAGUCGAGGGAGAACCAGGCAGCUUGCUGCUUGGGGAGACCGGCGAACGGGUGAGUAACACGUGAGGAACCUACCUUGGAGACCGGAAUAACCACGGGAAACUGUGGCUAAUGCCGGAUGACCUGUCAAUCUCGCAUGGGAUUGCCAGGAAAUGGUCCGCCGCUCCAAGAUGGCCUCGCGGCCUAUCAGCUAGUUGGUGAGGUAACGGCUCACCAAGGCGACGACGGGUAGCUGGCGUGAGAGCGCGACCAGCCACACUGGGACU
Molecule: ribosomal RNA, 323 nt
Filed under: Actinomycetota bacterium
Lineage: Bacteria; Bacillati; Actinomycetota
Description: bacterial SSU rRNA
Rfam family: Bacterial small subunit ribosomal RNA
Source: RNAcentral